This is a long non-coding RNA of Anguilla rostrata (American eel), 540 nucleotides long. RefSeq lists it as uncharacterized. The transcript has 2 exons. The record is from RefSeq and is a predicted model, not a curated record. Lineage: Eukaryota; Metazoa; Chordata; Actinopteri; Anguilliformes; Anguillidae.
AUCCUGCUUUCCCACCUGGAUUGUUCCAGAAGUCUGACUUGUACAUUAAACGACGUUGGAAACAAGUUCAGUACCUGGCUGACUUGUUUUGUAAAAGAUGGACUCGAGAGUAUUUACCAUUAUUACAAGAGAGACAGAAAUGGUUUACUGUAAAAAGAGGAUUCCAGAAAGGGGAUGUCGUAAUGGUGGUCGACAGCACAGCUCCUUGUGGAUCCUGGCCUCUUGGAAACGUACUCAAAGUCCAGCCUGACUCUAAAGGACUAACAAGAGCUGUUACACUCAAGACUAAGACUGGAGUCUUGGAAAGACCAGUGACAAAGCUCUGCCUGCUUCUUGAAGGCUCAGACGUCACUGAAUGAAGAUUGACCUGCUUGGCAAGACAUAAAGAUGAGUACCACAUUGUACAUUCACUCUCAUUUCUUGAUUUUUCUUUAAUGUUUAGAAUACAUGUUUAGAACGGCUCCUUAUAUAGUAUUUCUGUUUGUAAUUGUUGCAUAGGCACACAAUUAGGGGCCGGUGUGUAGGAGCCAUUAUGUUGGU